This is an RNA transcript of Andrographis paniculata, 1839 nucleotides long. RefSeq lists it as uncharacterized. The transcript has 3 exons. Lineage: Eukaryota; Viridiplantae; Streptophyta; Magnoliopsida; Lamiales; Acanthaceae. The record is from RefSeq and is a predicted model, not a curated record.
GUUAGAAAUAUCUAAUGGUGUGCACGAGUGGAACUACAUUGUCGUCGUUGUUGUUGUCGUGGUUGUUGUCCUAAUCUCGACUUCCCCAGCAUUUCCAUAGUAUUGCGAGUCCCAUAUGGCUGAAACGGGUGAUCUUCAGAGCCGGGGACUUGGCUACCCGAAGUGGUUGUAGUUUGCGUGUCGCACGAACUCAUAGUCGAUAGAGCUAUAGCAAAUCCACCAUUUUUAAACAAAUUCCAACCUCCCAUCAUUCUUGUUACUAUUUCUUUUAUCUGUUUCAGCAUCCAAAGACUCAGCUUGUCGCCGUUGCCGACACUUUCACUUUCAUUAAUUUCUGCUAAUUGGUUCUGCAAAAAGUCCCUCGCUUUAAUGAACCCUUUGGUUUCGUAGGUCCUUAUGGCGUCGUGAAUGCGCAACGAGCAAUAGAGGCAUGCCCUCGUCCGUACAACCUCCUUGUGAACAAGAAUCUUUGUAUGUCCAGAUCAAAUCAAGGCAUGUCUCCUUAAGCUCCAAGCUGUUUUCCGGGAGAGUCACUUCGAUAAGAAAUUCUUUCGUCUCAUCAGCGAAAAGGGCUCCGAUGCGACAGGCGAUGGCAUCCCGCAGAAUCGCGUAGCUUUCCAAGUAGGAGUAAGUGCCGCCUGUUGCCGAACACACUGCGUGCAGCGCAAAAGGGUCGUGCUGUGUACCAAUGCCAAAGGCGUAGACCGGAUAUACGGGUGCUUCAAAGUAACUAUUUAUAUACUCUACGUCAUAGCGAGGAGGAUAGACUGCAAGCGGUAAUUCCUCAAGGUAACUUAGUUCCUUUUCUCGAUUAAUCUCCAAGGCAAGAGGCCGUGUGUUUCUAGUGUCUUUCCUAUCGGACAAGAGUAUAAUGAAUGCCACUGGAUUGAGAUACCGUCUUUGAUCAAGAACCAGAGCUGCAACAGUAAGAAGAUCAACAAAAUUAGUUGCAGCUUUUGCAAAGACAAGUCUGUUAACGGCAUCUUUUGCCGCUUUCUGUCCUUGCUCGGACAUUGUGCGCAGGGGAGAAACCUUUUCAGGCCUGGCAGAGGACGAAAGUAUCGAAAGCCUGUCCGAGGGGCCUAAGUUGUCGAUUACAAAGCCCAGGGCAUUUCUGACAUGAUCCCAUGCUCGUUGUCCGAGGUCUUGGCUAAAAUCGAGCGCAAUAAGAAGAUCAAUAGGAGUGCGCUGCAGGGGAUGGUUUCUAUAUUGGAACAAUGAUGGUGCCUCUAUCUGAACAAGAACAUUAAAUUUUUCUGGCGGAACUGUUGAAAUGACAAAGGGGCGCUCGGGAAUGUCGGUAACAGUAACUCUGGGUAAGCCAUAAGCUGGAAUGAAAGAUGCUUCAUGGAAGGGCAGAGGUUCAUCGUCAGGAUAGAAAAGGGGCUCGACAUAAUCGCCUCUUUUCUGCUGCAAAAUAUAAUGCAGAAAACACUCACUGCUUGGUUCAUUGCAAUGUAAGAAAUUAAACUAGUACGCAAUACGAACAUUUCAACAAGAUUUAAAGAAUCAUGAGGCAUUUUCGAAUCAGAUCAAGAUCGUCAACAAGAUUUCAAGUAUCCAACAAGAUGCCCUGGAAAGCCAAUCAAUAUAUAUGGAAACACGAACAGGUUGUGGGAAGCAUACUGAUAUUGUAGCUAUAAAGUAAUAUCGAAUCAAAUCAAUCAGUUUAGGAAGAUAACUUACUGGUUGCGUAGACGAAGAAGGAUUCUUUGAAGAAGAAGACGAAGCCAUGAAUGUUUCUUGAUGCUGGUCUUGUGAAUGCGCAAUUUUCUUGGAGAAUUUAAGUAAUUAUACAGUUGAUAUGAUAUGAGAGUGAAAGAGUGAGGUUUUCGAUAU